This 343-nucleotide ribosomal RNA is filed under the name uncultured bacterium. RNAcentral describes it as "bacterial SSU rRNA". It matches the Rfam family "Bacterial small subunit ribosomal RNA", at positions 29 to 358 of the family's 1533-position model. The record is from RNAcentral.
AACGAACGCUGGCGGCGUGCCUAACACAUGCAAGUCGAACGAGAAAGGGGCUUCGGCCCUGAGUAAAGUGGCGCACGGGUGAGUAACGCGUGGGUAAUCUGCCCUCGAGCGGGGGAUAACAUUCCGAAAGGAGUGCUAAUACCGCAUGAGACCACGUUUCUGCGGAGAUGUGGGAAAAGAUGGGGAUCUUCGGACCUGUCACUUGGGGAUGAGCCCGCGUACCAUUAGGUAGUUGGUGAGGUAAUGGCUCACCAAGCCGAACGAUGGUUAGCUGGUCUCGAGAGGAUGAUCAGCCACACUCGGACUGAGACACGGCCCAGACUCCUACGGGAGCAGCAGUGGG